Long non-coding RNA from Lolium perenne, 2326 nucleotides. RefSeq lists it as uncharacterized. Lineage: Eukaryota; Viridiplantae; Streptophyta; Magnoliopsida; Poales; Poaceae. The record is from RefSeq and is a predicted model, not a curated record.
UACAUAUAUUAACUAUCUGGGUCGCUCUAGGUUUCCGGCCUCGCCGUCCAAUCGGCCACUCAGGCACCGCUCUCCGGCGACCACGAGCGCCGGCAGCGGAACCCUCAACGGGCCAGACUCGCGUGGAGACCAUCUACCGCGUCGCCCAGUGCCGCAUCGACACCUCGCCCCCCUGCUCCUACCGCCCCUCAAGCUCGGCAUCUGGAACUGGUACCUGUCGGCGGAGAAGAGCAGGUCGGCGUGCGCCUCUUCCCGGAUCCCGGCCGGCUGGCAAAGGAGCAGCCGCCGCUCGCCCGCUUCUUGCUCCGCGUCUCCUAGGCCGGCCCGCCCCGUCGCUCCACCAUCUCCCUAGGUCUGCAGCUUCUUCUUGGCCUAAGUGCUGCUGGAAGGUAAGAGUUUACUACGAGGGAGGUGUGAUGUCUCUCUGGGACAGGCUGUACGGUUCCGGGGGAUUGCCUCCAUCUACAAAAGCCACGCCACUACCUGAUUCUGAUCUACGCCGCUGCAGCAGACUUGUCAGGCCUCUGUGUUCCCUUUCUCUUGAGGUUCCUGGACUGCACGGCUGCAACGGCACACAGCGUCGGCCCCGACCGCUGGUACUGCGUCUGGGUUAUUUCAACGGUGUCCUAUGGGCUGCCGGUGUUGUUGCUCUUCGCCAACACACUCCAGUACGAAUACUGUCAUACUGAUGUUGUCGUUUUGGUGCAUCCAGCCAUCCAUGCCGUUUGGAUCUUGGCCUCGUUCCAUGAUCCGGCUUUGAUGUUUCUUUUCCUCACGAUGCAAGCCAGGUUACCUUCUGAUUAUGCACAAUAAUAGCUGACGGGGUCCUUCCUACGUAUUAAUCACUGGCUCCAUUUUAGCAGCUGCUGCCAGGAACUAAAUAUGCAGGUGGUGUGGUCAAUCACCAUUUGGUGUUCCUUUUCAUGUGCUCCAGUUUCUGAUGCAUAUUUAUCUCAAUUAUGGUUUAAUUCUUCCAUUUUGUGAUUUCAGUCUUAGCUCUUAUUGUGUAUUAAUUAAUUUGUUAUAUGUAGAGGAUGCGGAAAUGCAUUUCUGACCUUAGGUGCAUAUGGUCCCUUUAUCUAAAAUAUGUCUCGAGAGAUGCCUUAUUUUUGCACUAAAAUUUGUCCUUUUACACGGACUGAAUAGAAGGUUUAUUUUUUGGCUAAAAAACUUUAUUAGCACGUAGGAUGUAGAAAUAUACAUGCGACAAUUUAUUCUGCAUUUUUUGACAUUUUAAAUAUGUGUAAAAUGUAUCUUAAAAUGGAGCAUAUGUACAUGGGAGCAAAAACACCACGUCCCAGACGAUGGGUGUUUUGAUGUAAAUUAAUUAAGGUGGUGGUUUAGGCUUUAUUUGUUGGCUGUUCAGUCAAUUGUUGAGUACAACAUAUGUUGGCUGGGCGUGGUCUGGGAAAAGAUCGACGUGCCUAAAACAAUACAAUCAUGUGUAUUUAAGUUCCAUUUUCGUACACGCAUGCUUAGUGCUAAUUUGUUUUUUAGUACUGCCGAUCUGCAGUUAAGAAGAAAAACCAAAUCAUAAUAUUCUUAUAGUUCAUUUAUAGGAUGGCCACCUGACAUGUAUAGCUUCUCUACGUGGGACAUGGGAGAUAGGUACACCGCUAUAACUAUUUCGUAUAAUACCAUUUCAUUUUUUUUUUCUUGUGGGCAUUACGUAGAGAACUUUGUUGUGCAAGUUGGUGGACGCUGUCCUUGGCAACAAAUGGAGGACACAGCGGAGGUUGGAACGAAACCAACCAUAGGAGCAUGAACGAUUACUUAAUUGCUGAAGCUUAGUGCAGUUUUCUACAAAUACGUGAAAAAGUAUUGCCAUGCUUUAAACCAACGCUUAACUGUGACUAUAUAUGGGGAUCCAUCUUGGAGUCUUCCAAUGUUACUGCAUCGCAAAGGAAUCAACAAAAGAAUCUGUGAUAGUGUUUUUUCUCUGAGUGACCAUUUGUUACAUAUUCUUCUUGACAAAUUAACUGCAAUUGUGCUCUAGAACAGAUUGUUCCAGGAAUGCUAGCCUUUAUAAGUACAUGUCUCAGAUGGUACUUCAACGUCCAACCAAAGAUGGCAGUGAUUCAGCGAGGAGCAUUCUUGAAGGACUUUGUCAAGGAUGAGGCGCUUCAGAACGGUAACAACAAUAUUGUCUUGGUAGAGGAGCAUGUAAACAAUGAUGUAUUUGCUUCUUUUAGUCAACACAUGUCAUUUUCCUCUGAGCUUAGUGGAAUUCUAGACAUUGCUCAGCUUUCAAAAAAUCAGUAUUCCUGUAACCUGCUUGAUUUAUUUUUAUUCAGUUAGAAUACAAAAUAUAAUUUUCCUACUCUCA